Molecule: long non-coding RNA, 3772 nt
Organism: Hemibagrus wyckioides
Lineage: Eukaryota; Metazoa; Chordata; Actinopteri; Siluriformes; Bagridae
Exons: 2
Source: RefSeq, a predicted model, not a curated record
UGCUUUUGUUCUUCCAUCAGCAUUAACUCUGGAACAGCUUCAGAAAUUAUGCAUGUUUUUUAAUUAAUUUUAUCCUUUAUAACAUUUAUUUUAUUGUUUAAUUUGAAACGAGUUAUUUUAUUAAUAAACACAUCGUUGACAGUUUUAGCUAGUUUUUUUAAAGCCUGGGAAUGUGAGAAGCUCAGACUGUGUUUCAGGUGUGUGUGUGUGUGUUAAGAGAGACUUCCUCACACACAGUGCAUGAUGGGAUGCGUUUAAGAUGGUUAAGGGGUUUCCAUGGUAACGUGUGUCCUUGGGGUUUAUACAGAAUUAGUAAAUUUGUAAAUACUGAUAUCUGAAAUAUAAUAAAUGUGAGAAAAUGUCAACAGCACUGAAAACCGAGAAACUGGCAACGCGAAGUGAAACGCACUUCCGCUCACCUUCCUCUUAUGUAACCGCCCCGCCCCUUUUCCUCUGUCCUCGCGCUUCUGCAGUGGCGGGAAAUAAACAUCCUUCAUCCUCAUCCUCACAUUCACACCUCAACUGAAACAAACCGGAUGUUUUUACACUCAGUGUUUUUUUCAGCUUGAUCUGAUGACCCGGACCUCCUGCUCCUCUUCCUCCUCCUCCUCUUCCUCUUCUGUGGAUUUAGGAAAAGUGAAUUCAUGCAGGGAGAUGAGAAGCGCGGGGGAGCGAGACACCUAGUGGUGAUGACCGGAAAUGCAUGAGAAAGAAAACCAACACGUGCGGUACAGAACCCGAGCAUCUGAGCAGAAGCUGAAUGCUGAAGUGAAGUUACCCUAAAGUGGAUUCUGUGUUUAUUCUCUUUCCAAAUCCAGCGUGCAGGUAACAUCAGCAAAACAGCAACGUUUAAACACCUGGAUUAGCUACUACAUUUCCAGAUUCAGUACUUCUAAAAAAAAAAAGUAUCUCAAACAAGGAGGAAGGAGAAAGAAAUAAGGAGAUUAUAAAACAUUCUUAAGAGCUCUGAGAAUCAGAAUCCUAACCCUCUGAUAUUAUUAAUAAGUGCGUUAAAUAAAUGAUGAAGCUAAAGUUUAUGCUCCUGAAUGUUUUAUUUUCAUUUCUCUGUGUCUGAUCUGAGAUGAUUCCCUCCUCUUCCUCCUGUUCUGCACCUCAUACUCAUGUGUUAUCGUGGAGCUUCACACUGCUCAGGAGCGGAUUAUCAAACUCUCUCAGACCUGAAGGUUCUACACCUGACCGGUCCUGCCCUCAGGUGUGGUUCUUUCCCUUCUCUCUCAUACCCGUAGAGCUCCUUUAUUACACAGUAAUGAGAGUGUAUCUUUAAAGGGAACUUUAUUCACCUGUCCAGGUAAAAGAUCUGCUCUAAUGGAAAAGCAGCGUUUUCUUCUGCGUGGAUUAAUUUGAGAUUAAUGCAGGAAACUAAAAUAAAUUAGGAAAUAAAUGAUUGUGUGAUAUGAAAAUAAUAAAAUGAAAAUAAAAUCAAUGAGUUUUUAUUCAAUUCUAAGCCAUCUUAACAGUAGAUGAUUACCUUAAAUAUGAUAUAAAUCAAAUUCUAUAAAGUUGAAGACUGGAGUUGUUCACAUUGAGAGAGAGCGAGAGAGAGAGACAGUGACGAGUUCCCCUUCACCUUCUCAUUGUCUGUUGUUCUACCACAUUUCUAUCUCAGCUCAGUGCAAACCACCAUCAUCACCACCAUCACCUCAAAACACAAAAACAAGCAAAAAAACAAAGCAGCUCUCAUGCCAUCGGCUUCCUGUGAACUUUAUUCCAGCAUGUUCGUCAAACAAAACCUCGCCUGUGAUGCAGAGGCUGAAAACGGAGCGACUCUGAUUCAUGACCUGAUUAAACUCUUCAUUCAUCACACUGUACUUCCUGUACAAUGUUCAUACAGAGUGAUCGUAAAUACUCUCACUUCUACACUCUGGAGUCCAGACUGAGCUGAAGGACCAGUGCUGCUCCUCUACUGCUCUCACUGGGGCAGAAUUCCGAGAGAUUUGGGUUUUUUUUUAGACGGAGCCGACGUUACACAAUAUUUUCAGGAGUAGGUGUGAGACAUGAUUCACGCCUAAAGUAGGUUAAUCAGGCUGAAAAACCGGAUCUGAACUUUAACUACCCACAAACAAACUCGGUAAACAAAGACACGAGGACAGAGACGGGAUUUACGAUUAAAGCAGCUGACGAGUGACGACCUAGAGAUUCGGCUGGUCUCAAAACCCCGAAAACCCCCGGACUUUCUGCAGUGUGGAGCUGGACAGCGGGCUGACCUUCAUCCUCACACUUUCAUGUGAAUCUACAGGAAGUACAGAAAUAACUUCAAACACAUUUCACAAGCUGUGUGUCGGUUCCUCACACACACGUGAAGACUCUGUGCUGCUGAAUAGCCGAGGGUCAAACCUCACACACACACACACACACACACUACUCUUUGUGUUGAGUCAGCAGUAUUCCUGCAGUUAUAACAGUUAUAUUUAUAUCUAUAUUUAUUUUACCCAGAUCUACUCAUCAUUAUUUUAAACUAAUAGUUUUAUCACCUUUCCCUCACAGUGCAGAUGAAGACAAUAAUAAGGCUUUAAACUUACUGCUGUGACGUGUCUCACUAUCUCACACAGAACUCCUGAACAAACCCCUCCAGUGAGUGACGAGGUCAAAGGUCACACUCGGGGUCACUGCACCCAGGUGUUUCUGUGAGGAAUUUAGGGGCUUUUUUUAACCUCCAGCGUAGAGUUUCUGAGGUUUCUGGUGAGUGCACGGAGUCAGAGUGAAGACCUCACUAUCAGGUCACUGUGUCCACUCAGAGGACAAACACAAAACCUCCGAGAUCAAACAGAAAGCGCUGUAAUGUCAAGAAAAACAUCUCAAGAAGAAAAUCACAAGAAAAUUUAAAAAUCACAAGAAAAUAGUUUUAAUCUCAGGAAUGUAGAUGGAGUAGAUACUCAUUAAAGGCUGUUUUUUGACAAAUGAAAUUUUGAGAAACAUAAAAUAACAUCAAAUAAUCAACAUUUUGCCGUCAUCAAGUGCGACUCCAUUCCUAAUUUACAAUUUCCACUUCCUGUACAACUUCCACUUCCUAUAAAAUUUCCACUUCCUGUACAUCAACAGUCACACUGCUGCCUUACACUCAUACACACACACUUACACACACUCUCACACUCACACACACUCACUCACACACACACACUCUCACACACACACUCACACACACACACACUCACACACACACACACACUCACACACACACAGAAAAUGUUAAUUAUUAUUUAUGAUUUGUUUCUGCUCUCCUUCACGUCUCUGUUCUUUUCACUCAGCAUUUAUUUAAAUAUCUGUAAAAUUCUAAAGAUGUGGAUUUUAUAAAAAGGCCUGGAGUCGUCUGAAAGAUCUCAGAAGCUUUUAGAAUCAGUUUAAAUGUUUUUUGGUCACAGGAACAUUUACAUCAGAUUUGAGUUUGUAGAUUAAAAGUCUAGCUGAAGGUAAAUAUCAUAAAGCUUAAUACAUUUUUUUUACUAAUUUUAACUUGAAAUGAUUUUAUUUUCAGGAAAAAAGUAUAAAAGUGAGAGAUCUGUGUCUGGAGUGAGACAAUCUCAGGCUUAUGAUGAAGAAAAAGUUUAUAAAUAUUACAAACACCCACAUUAAAGCUGUGCUCUGAUUGUGAAGAAUAAUUAAAGUGUGUGUGUGUAUGUGUGUGUGCAAUUUUUUUCUCUGGACCUUUCUGAGGCACUUCAAACUCCUGAUGGUUUUGAGAUCAUCAGUGCUUAUUAAAUCAAGAAGAGAAUUGUGUGUGUGUGUGUGUGUGUGUGACAUAUAAAUUUGAAAA